UACGUAGGGACCGAGCGUUGUCCGGAUUCAUUGGGCGUAAAGAGCUCGUAGGCGGCCACUCAAGUCGAAUGUGAAACCUCGAGGCUUAACCUCGAGCCUGCAUUCGAUACUGGGUGGCUAGAGUCUGGUAGGGGGAUCUGGAAUUCCUGGUGUAGCGGUGGAAUGCGCAGAUAUCAGGAGGAACACCGUUGGCGAAGGCGGGAUCCUGGGCAAGUACUGACGCUGAGGAGCGAAAGCGUGGGGAGCAAACAGG
Molecule: ribosomal RNA, 253 nt
Filed under: uncultured bacterium
Lineage: Bacteria
Description: partial 16S ribosomal RNA
Rfam family: Bacterial small subunit ribosomal RNA
Source: RNAcentral